This 429-nucleotide ribosomal RNA is filed under the name Chloroflexota bacterium. RNAcentral describes it as "Chloroflexi bacterium partial 16S ribosomal RNA". It matches the Rfam family "Bacterial small subunit ribosomal RNA", at positions 355 to 776 of the family's 1533-position model. Lineage: Bacteria; Bacillati; Chloroflexota. The record is from RNAcentral.
UGGGGAAUAUUGCACAAUGGGCGCAAGCCUGAUGCAGCCAUGCCGCGUGUGUGAAGAAGGCCUUCGGGUUGUAAAGCACUUUCAGCGGGGAGGAAGGCGUUAAGGUUAAUAACCUUGGCGAUUGACGUUACCCGCAGAAGAAGCACCGGCUAACUCCGUGCCAGCAGCCGCGGUAAUACGGAGGGUGCAAGCGUUAAUCGGAAUUACUGGGCGUAAAGCGCACGCAGGCGGUCUGUCAAGUCGGAUGUGAAAUCCCCGGGCUCAACCUGGGAACUGCAUUCGAAACUGGCAGGCUAGAGUCUUGUAGAGUGGGGUAGAAUUCCAGGUGUAGCGGUGAAAUGCGUAGAGAUCUGGAGGAAUACCGGUGGCGAAGGCGGCCCCCUGGACGAAGACUGACGCUCAGGUGCGAAAGCGUGGGGAGCAAACAGG